AACGAACGCUGGCGGCAGGCCUAACACAUGCAAGUCGAGCGAGGACUUCGUUCCUAGCUGCUGACGGGUGAGUAACGCGUGGGAACGUGCCCUUUGCUUCGGAAUAGCCCUUGUAAACUGGGGGUAAUACCGGGUGAGCCCUUUUGGGGAAAGAUUUAUCGGCGGAGGAUUGGCCGGCGUUGGAUUAGGUUGUUGGUGGGGUAAUGGCCUAUCACGCCGACGCUCCUUAGCUGGUUUGAGAGGAAGAGCAGCGACACUGGGACUGAGACACGGCCCAGAAUACUACGGGAGGGAGCAGUGGGUGAUCUUAGACAAUGGGGGAAACCAUGAUCGAGCCAUGGCGGGUGAGCGAUGAAGGCCUUAGGGUAGUGAAGCUGGUUAAGCUGGGAAGAUAAUGACGGUACCAGAAGAAGAAGCCCCGGCUAACUCCGUG
This 433-nucleotide ribosomal RNA is filed under the name uncultured bacterium. RNAcentral's name for it is "partial 16S ribosomal RNA". It matches the Rfam family "Bacterial small subunit ribosomal RNA", at positions 29 to 507 of the family's 1533-position model. The record is from RNAcentral.